CGAACGGGUGAGUAACACGUGAGGAACCUGCCCCGAAGACUGGGAUAACGACCGGAAACGGUCGCUAAUACCGGAUGUCCCCACCUGGAUCGCAUGGUCUGGUGAGGAAAUGGAUUCCGCUUCGGGAGGGCCUCGCGGCCUAUCAGCUUGUUGGCGGGGUAACGGCCCACCAAGGCGUCGACGGGUAGCUGGUCUGAGAGGACGACCAGCCACACUGGGACUGAGACACGGCCCAG
RNAcentral lists this ribosomal RNA (236 nucleotides) under uncultured bacterium. Its description in RNAcentral is "partial 16S ribosomal RNA". It matches the Rfam family "Bacterial small subunit ribosomal RNA", at positions 99 to 334 of the family's 1533-position model. The record is from RNAcentral.